This 66-nucleotide transfer RNA is filed under the name Golunda ellioti (Indian bush rat). Its description in RNAcentral is "tRNA-Thr". Lineage: Eukaryota; Metazoa; Chordata; Mammalia; Rodentia; Muridae. The record is from RNAcentral.
GCCUUGAUAGUAUAAACAUUACUUUGGUCUUGUAAACCAAGAAUGAGAAGCCAUUCUCUCAAGACA